RNAcentral lists this ribosomal RNA (445 nucleotides) under uncultured bacterium. Its description in RNAcentral is "bacterial SSU rRNA". It matches the Rfam family "Bacterial small subunit ribosomal RNA", at positions 354 to 796 of the family's 1533-position model. The record is from RNAcentral.
GUGAGGAAUAUUGGUCAAUGGGCGGAAGCCUGAACCAGCCAUCCCGCGUGAAGGAAGACAGCCUUACGGGUUGUAAACUUCUUUUCUGUCAGAAGAAUAAGCUUGUCGAGACGAGUGAUGCCGGUAUGACAGGAAUAAGCAUCGGCUAACUCCGUGCCAGCAGCCGCGGUAAUACGGAGGAUGCAAGCGUUAUCCGGAUUUAUUGGGUUUAAAGGGUGCGCAGGUUGUUUGAUAAGUCAGUGGUGAAAGUCUGUCGCUUAACGGUAGGAUUGCCAUUGAUACUGUUGGACUUGAAUAUGGAUGAGGUAGGCGGAAUGUGUAGUGUAGCGGUGAAAUGCAUAGAUAUUACACAGAACACCGAUUGCGAAGGCAGCUUACUAAUCCAUCAUUGACGCUGAGGCACGAAAGCGUGGGGAUCAAACAGGAUUAGAAACCCUAGUAGUCC